CAAUAGCGUAUAUUAAAGUUGUUGCAGUUAAAAAGCUCGUAGUUGAAUUUUUGCUUGCCGCCGAUGUCGGAACUUCCGUACGUUCGGCGGCGUGCAUCCUUGGGUGGAACCUGUGUGGCAUUAGGUUGUCGUGCAGGGGAUGCUCAUCGUUUACUGUGAAAAAAUUAGAGUGUUCAAAGCAGGCUUACGCCGUUGAAUAUAUUAGCAUGGAAUAAUAAGAUAGGACCUUGGUACUAUUUUGUUGGUUUGCGCACCGAGGUAAUGAUUAACAGGGACAGUGGGGGGUAUUCGUAUUCCAUUGUCAGAGGUGAAAUUCUUGGAUUUCUGGAAGACGAACUACUGCGAAAGCAUUUACCAAGGAUGUUUUCAUUAA
RNAcentral lists this ribosomal RNA (373 nucleotides) under uncultured eukaryote. RNAcentral's name for it is "partial 18S ribosomal RNA". It matches the Rfam family "Eukaryotic small subunit ribosomal RNA", at positions 592 to 976 of the family's 1831-position model. The record is from RNAcentral.